RNAcentral lists this ribosomal RNA (305 nucleotides) under uncultured bacterium. RNAcentral describes it as "bacterial SSU rRNA". It matches the Rfam family "Bacterial small subunit ribosomal RNA", at positions 331 to 652 of the family's 1533-position model. The record is from RNAcentral.
UUCGACCUACGGGGGGCAGCAGUGGGGAAUAUUGGACAAUGGGGGGAACCCUGAUCCAGCGACGCCGCGUGAGUGAAGAAGUAUUUCGGUAUGUAAAGCUCUAUCAGCAGGGAAGAAAGAAAUGACGGUACCUGACUAAGAAGCCCCGGCUAACUACGUGCCAGCAGCCGCGGUAAUACGUAGGGGGCAAGCGUUAUCCGGAUUUACUGGGUGUAAAGGGAGCGUAGACGGCUGUGCAAGUCUGAAGUGAAAGCCCAGGGCUCAACCCUGGGACUGCUUUGGAAACUGUGGAGCUAGAGUGCUGG